This 429-nucleotide ribosomal RNA is filed under the name Bacillota bacterium. RNAcentral describes it as "Firmicutes bacterium partial 16S ribosomal RNA". It matches the Rfam family "Bacterial small subunit ribosomal RNA", at positions 355 to 776 of the family's 1533-position model. The record is from RNAcentral. Lineage: Bacteria; Bacillati; Bacillota.
UAGGGAAUCUUCCGCAAUGGACGCAAGUCUGACGGAGCAACGCCGCGUGAGUGAAGAAGGGUUUCGGCACGUAAAACUCUGUUGUUAAGGAAGAAUGACAGGCAGAGUAACUGCUGCCUGUGUGACGGUACUUAACCAGAAAGCCACGGCUAACUACGUGUCAGUAGCCGCGGUAAUACGUAGGUGGCAAGCGUUAUCCGGAAUUAUUGGGCGUAAAGCGCGCGUAGGCGGUUUUUUAUGUCUGAUGUGAAAGCCCCCGGCUCAACCGGGGAGGGUCAUUGGAAACUGGGCAACUUGAGUGCAGAAGAGGCGAUUGGAAUUCCAUGUGUAGCGGUAAAAUGCGCAGAGAUAUGUAUGACCACCAGUGGCGAAGGCGGCUCUCUGGUCUGUAACUGACGCUGAUGUGCGAAAGCGUGGUGAUCAAACAGG